UGGCCCAAACAACAGGCCGUGGGAGUGUUAACGCCGAGCGGCGCAUCUCGCUGUCUCGCGAAGCAAAAGCAACCCUAGCCGCCGCCGGUUCUUGCUCCCUGUCCCCUCUCCCCCGCAACGCUGCCACCGAAGGGGUGCCGGCGAUGCCCGCGCACGCCCAGGGGAGGUGGCGGCAGUGCGGGCUUCCUCCCCUCGCGGCGCCUGUCCCUCCCGGAUUCCGCGGCACGGUGGAGCUUUUAUCAACGGCGAAAGGGGGCGGCGUGGCUACAUGCGGGCGGCGCAGGGCUCGCGCCGGUGUGCGCGCUGGGUGCUGCGGAGGCUCCUGGCCGGCGGCUUGGUCCGACAAGGCCAGAUCCGUCGUGCUGGCGCUGUCGGGGCGUGUGGGGCCAGAUCCGAUGGUGGUGGUGCCGGUCGGCUUUCGGGUGGCCUGCAAGUCGGAGGCGGGCCAAAGGCUGCGACUUGUCCCUUGCGGGCAGCGGCAGCGGUGGAGUGCGGCUGUGGUGGCCGCAGUGGUUCGGAUCCGGCUGAUAAGGACCGGAAUCGGGGUCGAACACUAGUGGAUUUCCCUCCCUUUGGUACGGGACUCGUUGGUAUGAUUCCCUUGGCAGCUCCUGGACGGGUUCGGGGUCCGUGGUCAAAGGCCGGGGAGAAAUCUCUGCGUGGCUGUUUGCCUACGCCGAUGACAUGACGGUUGCGGCCGCCAUGACCUUCUUGGAGGCGUCGUUGUGGCUCGACUGCGGCUUCCUCCUCCUUUGGCGCCGGGGGAAACCCUUGGCUUGGUUGACGGACGUGACAACGGUGGCGCUCAAUGUCGUUUUCCUCUCUUGAGAGCGUUUUCUUGGUGGCCUUGGAGCCCUUCAGCGAGCAUGUUUGCUGUGGGGGAUUGUCCCGGUUCCAUGCCCGGGACGUUGGCCUUCGUGGCGCAAUGUACGCACCUUGGACAAUCUCUUUAUUCAGCUCCGGCCUGCGGCUACCCACUUGCCGAUCUUCUCUCUUGGCGUGAUGGUGGGCUACAUCGUCCGUCUUCGAGAGGCUUGGCGGCGGGCGUGCAGCGGUUGUGGUCCUGUGAGCAACUUUUUCAUCUUUUAGGCUUGUUGUUGUGCAGGGUUUUGUGGUGGUUGUUACUGGGUUUUGGUCCAAACUAGUUAGGGACGGUGGUGUGGUUUCUUUUUGGGUUAAUUGGAUCUAUGCCACUCUCUAUUUCACCGGCUGGAGAUAUGCCAUUACAAAACUUGAUUUAGAGAAAUGCCACUUUUAACUUUCUUAUACCUCUAUCAAUGCCAUUCUAUCCACUUAAAACCAUUAAGUGUUCAAAAAUACAUGUAUUAAGUGUACAACAAUAUUUACCAUAAUACUCCUAUUUAUAAUGUUCAGUGGUACGUUCGAGUCUUCAAGGCACCAUAAAAGUUAAAAAAAUUCAAAUUUGACCCAAAAUUCAAUAUUCUUAGAAAAAUUUAUAAAAAUUACAGAAAAUAAAAAACAGUAAUAUGAGUCCACUGUUGGGGACGGGAUAUGAGGAACGCGUGAGGAAUAAGAAGAAUAAAACUGUUUGACUUGGGAUGGGAAAAAAAUUGUUUGUAUUGAAAGAAAAUGGCAUGAACAGAGAUAUAAAAAAGUUACAGCCCGUUUGGCAACCAAGAAUUCAUUUCAUUUGGUAGAAAUGAAAUGAAAUCCAAUUUUUUAUAGGAUUUCUUGAGUUUGAAUUCUGGGUUCAAAAAUCAUGUUUGUCUAUCACAUGAAAUGUAGAGUGAGAGACAAUUCUAGAGAAAUGAUGGUUUUUAGAGAGGAAUUGGGUUUAGUUAUACUGUAAUUUCAUGAAAUUUGAGAUUGGAUUCAUAUGGCCAAUUUCGUGCCACCCAAACAAGUUGGUUUUUGGAAUUCAUUUUAAAUUCUAGAAUUCUAUGCCCAAAUGAUGGUGCCAAACGAGCUGUUAGAGUGGCAUUUUUUCAAGUCAAGUUUUUGUAAUGGUACAUGUGCAGCCGGUGGAAAUUAUAAUGGCAAAUAUCCAAUUGACCCUUUCUCUUUUGCCGCUGGUUGGGGUUGUUCUUGCAGUUUCGGCCUUGUACCAGCCUUCUCACUAUUCUUCGAUUGAUGAUACCCGCUCGGUUGCAUUCUUGAAAAGAACAACCCGGCGGAGCUCGAUUCCGGUGGCGGCUCGAAGCGGCAGCGGCUGGAUGAGGAAGGGGAGCAAUCACAGCGAGAUGUGGGGAAGGCACGGAAGGACCACAUCUCGACCCUGCGUCCCUGCCGGAGGACCUGCGGCUGGACAUACCCGUGCUCCUCCCCCUCAAAUCCGCCAUCCACACCGCGCGCUCUCCACCAAGUGGCGCGCGCUCUGGACGUUCCGUUGGCCGGAGCCCUCCCUGGAAUUCCGCGUCCCUGACCCCUGGCGUCCCCCCUCGAGCUCGACUGCAGGGAUCUCUACGGCUGCCUCGACUACGCCGCCGCCUGCGCCGUCAUGGACCUCGGCGUCCACCUCUCCUACUCCUGCAAGGUCAUUUAUAACAGCAUCAAGUUCGACCUGCCGCCGGGCAACCCACACCUCGAGUGCCUCUCCCUCAGCGGCCCCCUUGUCUGCUUCCCCCCCACCGACUCCCGCGCCUACUCUGCCCUCAGAGGCUCAGAGCCAUACACCUCCACGGCGUCAGGAUCUACGACACCGACCUCUUCAACCUGGUAGCCGCGUGCCCCCUCCUCUGCACCAUUGAUUUACGCUACCGCAAAGAUCUAUGGAGCGCCAACUUGUCUGCCGCGGCUACCUGAAGAACUUCACCGUCGUGAAAAUGCAUUGCCAACAUUCAUAUCAACGAGGCUGCCAGCCUCCGCUCUUUCCGCUUCAGUCAAGCCUGCAUCCCCGCCUACCAAAUCGUGACCAACCCUGCCAUUGUCGACAUUAGCCUCUGCUCCUGGGGACAUGGCUGCCGCUGCCAGGGCGCGGUCACCACAUGCGAUGAAUACAGGAGACCCUGCAAGCUGCACACAAGUUAUCUUGAUGCACUGAAAAACGUCUCCAACCUCACCGUGCCUACCCUCAGCAGGAAUGUCCUACCAUUACUUUACUUUGUUUCAUUCCAACGUGUUGAUUCUACUGCUCAGUUACUCAUAAGCUCCUUCUUUACUUUUGCAUUGCAGAGAGUUUCUCGCAAGGCUUGUGCCAAAUCAACAGCUGGAAAUGCUGCCUCGUGCAAAUUACAGAAUCUGAGAGAGGUACAGCUGCUGAUGUUUGCAAUGUACAACAAAAAUCUGGACAAUAUUAUGGAUUUCCUCCUGAUCUGCUGUAGCUCUCGAUUGGAGAGACUAUUUGUGCAGCUUCCAACAACGAGUAAUCAAUAUAAGCCUGACGAAGAACCCUCAGAAUCAGAGGAAGAUAGGUCAGAAAAAGUGGUCAGAGGAAAAUGAGGUAUAGGAACAUCGGUGUUGCCCAGGUCGCUGCAGCAUCAAUUCUGAAAGGGCAAGCUAUGGAAAUGGGGGAGUCAUCAAGACAGCAGCCCAAGAGUAAAGCAAAGGCAGUGACAUUCAAUAAAUCUGAGUUUCCACCGAUUAUGUAUAAAGGAAAAGGGAAGAUGAUAGCUAAACCUCAUGAGCAGCAGCCUAAGAAUACGGGUGGCGCUAUGGUCAUAUCGCCAUAUGCGUCCUGCUCAGUAGAAAGAGUCACCCCUGUUCAGAGUAAGCUCCGAGCUGACGCCAGAGAGUUUAUUCCUUUGUUGGUAAAUAAUCCGGUAAGGGAGGCUCCAAGGCAGCGCCUCGUCAGAAAGGGUUGCACUUGAAUCAGUCGGACCGUAGGAUUGGUCAAAUGCCAUUUUCUGAAGGUUCAGCACGCCAUCAAUCUACACAGAGAAGCUCUUGCCAAGUCCGAAACAAGUCAUUUGAGGUAUUUCAAGCAAUGCCAGUUGGUGUCGAGGCGGUGGCAGACGACACCAGCGAAACAUCCUCCACAACUAUACACUACAAGAGAAGAAAAACCCUCAUAGAGGGCCCUCGCCGAUGGGCACACGAUCAAAAGAAUUCAGAUAAUUAGGAACUUGGUUCAAGCUAUGAUGAGUCUUACAAUCCCCUCUCUGAUAUCACUCUGUCCAUCAGAGAAUUAGCUAGAGACGCAUGGAUCAGACAUAUAACCAUGGUGGUCAUAUGGAGUAGUUCUUGACCACAAAUGAGUCUCAUUUGGACGAGCUCGCUGCCCUGUGUAAUCAGAUGAGUAGUAGUCAGAACCCAGGGAAUGAAGGACAUGGUGCUCCUAGGUCUAGCAGCCAGCAAGGAGGAACUGAAAUCAACCUGGAGCCGAUCCAAAGAAUAAUUGCCCUUUGCCAAACUAAUUCAUCCCCUUGCCAUCUUGUUGAUCAGGUGCGACGCCAAAAUCGAUGUCAACAGUUGGUCAUGGGGACAUGAAUCGGAGGCAGAUGAGCUAGAGAAAGAGCUGUCUGAGGGAGAAAAGUCCGAUGAAGAUUAAUCAGAACAAGACGAGUCAGAUCACUCAAAGUUUGACGCAUCAGAGGAAGAGGUUCCAGAGGAAUAUCACUCAAAAGGAAGACGAAUCAGAGGAACAGGGGUCAGCGGAAGGUCAAUUAAAGGAAAACGGGUCAAAGAAAGAGCUAUCUGAUGGAGAGCAAUCAGAACAAGACGAAUUAGAGGAAAUGGAGUCACGGGAAAAUCACUCAAAGGUUGACGCAGCAGAAAAAGAGGUGUCAGAGGAAUAUCAUUCAAAGGAAGACGAGUCAGAGGAACAGGGUCAAUCAAAAGAAGAUGUGUCAAAGAAAGAGCUAUCUGAUGGAGGGCAAUCCGCAGAAGAGCCACUCUCGAUGGAAGAGCCACUAGGGAAUGGUUGUGAAAACCUUAUGUUGCUGAAGAUGGAGAAUUUUAAGGGCCACCUUGAGAUGCGGCUAGUAAGCUUUGUGCUGAAAAGGUCAGCCAGACUCAACCAAUUGAUUCUAUUUACUCCCAGCGAUCACCCAGAAGGGCUUCAUAAGGAUCAUCUGAAUACAUCCGAGUUUCUUGAAACAAAAGUACUGCCUCUCAGAAAGGCUUCUCCAAAUGCUCAGAUAAUUCUUAGCGAGCCUGAUGAUACUGCUGUCCAACCGUUGCAUUGGGAGACCUUUGUCAAGUAUUAAUUAUUUGUCAACUUGAUCAGGAUUAUUUGAAUACAUCCAAUUUUCUUGAAACAAAACUACUGCCUCUCUAAAAGGCCUCUCCAUAUGCCCAGAUAAUCCUCAGUAAGCCUGAUGAUACUGCAGUCCGGCCGUUGCAUUGGGAAAACUUUUGGUUAGAUGAUUUUAGAUAUCAAAGGCUAGCAACUUUGCGUCAGAUGAAGUGUGAGCUAAUCGUCAAGAUUUGCAUGAUUCUCUUGUUUUGUAGUCCGUAGAGAUCAACUUUAUGGAGUAUUUUGUCCAGGUCUCGAGGCCUUAUGUUGUGGCUUUUUACUUGACUCUAUUUCAAAUAUCAUGUUUACCGUCCCUACGAAGCAUUGUUGUCAUGUUGGUGUUUUGAUGAGAACAAGCUGUCUAUAUGUUACGCGCUGCUGUGCUGUUUUUAUAAAAACAACCUGAUUGAUUCAU
Molecule: long non-coding RNA, 5549 nt
Organism: Brachypodium distachyon (stiff brome)
Lineage: Eukaryota; Viridiplantae; Streptophyta; Magnoliopsida; Poales; Poaceae
Exons: 3
Source: RefSeq, a predicted model, not a curated record